UAACCUGCCUCAUACAGGGGAGUAACAGUUAGAAAUGACUGCUAAUACCGCAUAAGCGCACAGCAUCGCAUGAUGCCGUGUGAAAAACUCCGGUGGUAUGAGAUGGACCUGCGUCUGAUUAGCUAGUUGGUGAGGUAACGGCCCACCAAGGCGACGAUCAGUAGCCGACCUGAGAGGGUGACCGGCCACAUUGGGACUGAGACACGGCCCAA
This 212-nucleotide ribosomal RNA is filed under the name uncultured bacterium. RNAcentral's name for it is "partial 16S ribosomal RNA". It matches the Rfam family "Bacterial small subunit ribosomal RNA", at positions 122 to 334 of the family's 1533-position model. The record is from RNAcentral.